Molecule: ribosomal RNA, 1532 nt
Filed under: Lingulaulax polyedra
Lineage: Eukaryota; Dinophyceae; Gonyaulacales; Lingulodiniaceae
Description: Lingulodinium polyedra partial Bacterial large subunit ribosomal RNA
Rfam family: Bacterial large subunit ribosomal RNA
Source: RNAcentral
AAGUCUGUUGGAAAACAGCAUCAUGGACGGUGACAAUCCGGUUCUUGCCUGGGGUCCCGCGGCGUACGAGCCGUUUCCGACGAGUCGUGUUGCUUGGGAUUGCAGCACUAAGUGGGUGGUAAAUUCCAUCUAAAGCUAAAUAUUGGUGGGAGACCGAUAGCGAACAAGUACCGUGAGGGAAAGGUGAAAAGUACCCCGACGAGGGGAGUGAAACAGUACCUGAAACCGAACGCCUACAAGCAGUCGGAGGCUCCUUGAGAGCUGACGGCGUACCUUUUGUAUAAUGGGUCAGCGAGUUAUUGUCUGUAGCAAGGUUAACCGUCUAGGGGAGCCGUAGGGAAACCGAGUCUUAAUAGGGCGAAUUAGUUGCUGGCAUUAGACCCGAAACCCGGUGAUCUAUCCAUGGCCAGGUUGAAGAUGCCGUAACAGGCAUUGGAGGACCGAACCCACAAAUGUUGAAAAAUUUGGGGAUGAGCUGUGGAUCGGAGUGAAAGGCUAAUCAAACCGGGAGAUAGCUGGUUCUCCUCGAAAUCUAUUUAGGUAGAGCGUCAUGUCUUACCCGCGGGGGUAGAGCACUGUUUGGGCUAGGGGGUCAUCCCGACUUACCAACCCCAUGCAAACUCCGAAUACCGCGGAGUACAAUCAUGGCAGACAGACGGCGGGUGCUAACGUCCGUCGUCAAGAGGGAAACAACCCAGACCGCCAGCUAAGGUCCCAAAUCUACGUUAAGUGGGAAACGAUGUGGGAAGGCUCAGACAGCUAGGAGGUUGGCUUAGAAGCAGCCAUCCUUUAAAGAAAGCGUAACAGCUCACUGGUCUAAAUAAGGGUUCCUGCGGCGAAGAUGUAACGGGGCUAAAGAUAUGCACCGAAGCUUAGGGUUGCAGUUUACUGCAGCGGUAGCGGAGCGUUCCGUAAGUGGCUGAAGCCGAAGGGUAACCGACGGUGGACAUAUCGGAAGUGCGAAUGCUGACAUGAGUAGCGACAAAGAGUGUGAGAAACACUCUCGCCGAAAGCCCAAGGGUUCCUGCGCAAGGCUAAUCCGCGCAGGGUAAGUCGGCCCCUAAGACGAGGGCGAAAGCCGUAGUCGAUGGGAAUCAGGUUAAUAUUCCUGAACCUGGUGGUAGUGACGACCGUGAAGUGUUGUAUCCCCUUACUGGAUUGGGGGUGCUGCUGGAUCGGUCCGGGAAAUAGCUCCACCGUUAAGACCGUACCCCAAACCGACACAGGUGGGCAGGUAGAAGAUACCAAGGCGCUUGAGGGAACUAUGUUGAAGGAACUCGGCAAAAUGCCUCCGUAACUUCGGGAUAAGGAGGACCUCCUUCCGGGCAACCGGUGGGGGGUGGCACAAAAUAGGGGGUAGCGACUGUUUACUAAAAACACAGGGCUCUGCGAAGUCGCAAGACGACGUAUAGGGUCUGACGCCUGCCCGGUGCCUGAAGGUUAAAAGGAGGGGUGAGAGCUCCGAAUUGAAGCCCAGGUAAACGGCGGCCGUAACUAUAACGGUCCUAAGGUAGCGAAAUUCCUUGUCGGGU